Long non-coding RNA from Pistacia vera, 968 nucleotides. RefSeq lists it as uncharacterized. NCBI's taxonomy places the organism in Eukaryota, Viridiplantae, Streptophyta, Magnoliopsida, Sapindales, Anacardiaceae. The transcript is spliced from 3 exons. The record is from RefSeq and is a predicted model, not a curated record.
CAGAGUUCCUCUGACCACUUCACUGGGGCUCUUCAUCUUCAUUCCUUAUUACUUUUACUUUAGCUGCCCAUCUGAAGUGUUUGGAGGAACUCUCGAUGGCAUCCGACCGACGCUUUUUCUUUUCGAUCUUCUCCAUCUUAACAGGGAAAGCGAACCGAAUAAUAUAGACGGGCUAUGGCAAACUGGGAAGUGAGAGCCUGGUGGUGAUGAGCAGGAAUUAAUUAUUAUGCUUGGAUUUCUGGAUCAUAUACAAAUUAAGAUUGAGGAUGCCUUUUCUUGAGGGUUCCAACCGUUACACUAUUUCGGCAGCAGCACUCUCUGCAGAUUUAUACCCAGAUUGUGCUCAAGUCCAGAUUGUGUUCAAGUCAAGGUUAUGAUGGGAGUGCAGUGUGAAUUUAUCGACCAGAACGGUAACGUAAUCUAUCUUGGCAGUGCCUCAAUGCAAACACAAGAAGCAUCAUGCAUUUUUCAGCUUCCUGAAAUCCUUAAAAAAAACCAUUUACUGUAGACAAACAACUCUCGGACGCACUAACAUCUCUGCAAAUAUUCGAUCAAGAAUGUUGUGAUAAGAUAAUUAGAGUGAUAUUCAAUAUCAUUAACAGCCACUUGGGUACUGGGAAUGGUUUUACAGUAUGUACUUCUAUAACCAAAGUUCAAAGGGUUUAUGUAACGAAGUGCGAUAUCAAUGGCUGAAGUUGAAAGCUGCGAGCGAGUGGUUCACGAAGGAUCGAUGACAAGCAUUGUGGUGGAAAGAGAGCCAGUAGUAUUGACCAGUUAGCCGCUUUGAGAUGCCGUCUAUUUAUAAAUCUUUGGUGGCUUAGUUUUCUUUUUUUGGGUUGAAAAUUUUCUGUAGUAUAUAGCUAGGAGAGUGGAGUAAAGUUUAUGAUCUUGAAACAGGGAUUGUCGGGUUUAUGAUGUUAUGUACUCUUGUAUAUUGUGUUUAUGAAAUUAUAAUAAAUUUAUUUUAU